This 467-nucleotide ribosomal RNA is filed under the name uncultured Leptolinea sp. RNAcentral describes it as "bacterial SSU rRNA". It matches the Rfam family "Bacterial small subunit ribosomal RNA", at positions 903 to 1382 of the family's 1533-position model. Lineage: Bacteria; Bacillati; Chloroflexota; Anaerolineae; Anaerolineales; Anaerolineaceae. The record is from RNAcentral.
AAAGGAAGUUGACGGGGCCCCGCACAAGCAGCGGAGCGUGUGGUUUAAUUCGAUGUUACACGAAGAACCUUACCAGGGUUUGACAUGCAAGUGGUAGGAAGCCGAAAGGUGACCGACCCUUCGGGGAGCUUGCACAGGUGCUGCAUGGCUGUCGUCAGCUCGUGUCGUGAGAUGUUCGGUUAAGUCCGCUAACGAGCGCAACCCUCGCUGUGUGUUAUAUGUGUCACACGGGACUGCCGGUCUUAAGCCGGAGGAAGGUGGGGAUGAUGUCAAGUCAGCAUGGCCUUUAUAUCCUGGGCUACACACACGCUACAAUGGCCAACACAAUAGGUUGCUAAGCCGCGAGGUGGCGCCAAUCCAUAAAGUUGGUCUCAGUUCAGAUUGUAGGCUGCAACCCGCCUGCAUGAAGAUGGAGUUGCUAGUAACCGCAGGUCAGCUAUACUGCGGUGAAUACGUUCCCGGGGCUU